GAAGAGUUUGAUCAUGGCUCAGAUUGAACGCUGGCGGCAGGCCUAACACAUGCAAGUCGAACGGUAACAGGAAGCAGCUUGCUGCUUUGCUGACGAGUGGCGGACGGGUGAGUAAUGUCUGGGAAACUGCCUGAUGGAGGGGGAUAACUACUGGAAACGGUGGCUAAUACCGCAUAACGUCGCAAGACCAAAGAGGGGGACCUUCGGGCCUCUUGCCAUCAGAUGUGCCCAGAUGGGAUUAGCUUGUUGGUGAGGUAACGGCUCACCAAGGCGACGAUCCCUAGCUGGUCUGAGAGGAUGACCAGCCACACUGGAACUGAGACACGGUCCAGACUCCUACGGGAGGCAGCAGUGGGGAAUAUUGCACAAUGGGCGCAAGCCUGAUGCAGCCAUGCCGCGUGUAUGAAGAAGGCCUUCGGGUUGUAAAGUACUUUCAGCGGGGAGGAAGGUGUUGUGGUUAAUAACCGCAGCAAUUGACGUUACCCGCAGAAGAAGCACCGGCUAACUCCGUGCCAGCAGCCGCGGUAAUACGGAGGGUGCAAGCGUUAAUCGGAAUUACUGGGCGUAAAGCGCACGCAGGCGGUCUGUCAAGUCGGAUGUGAAAUCCCCGGGCUCAACCUGGGAACUGCAUUCGAAACUGGCAGGCUUGAGUCUUGUAGAGGGGGGUAGAAUUCCAGGUGUAGCGGUGAAAUGCGUAGAGAUCUGGAGGAAUACCGGUGGCGAAGGCGGCCCCCUGGACAAAGACUGACGCUCAGGUGCGAAAGCGUGGGGAGCAAACAGGAUUAGAUACCCUGGUAGUCCACGCCGUAAACGAUGUCUACUUGGAGGUUGUGCCCUUGAGGCGUGGCUUCCGGAGCUAACGCGUUAAGUAGACCGCCUGGGGAGUACGGCCGCAAGGUUAAAACUCAAAUGAAUUGACGGGGGCCCGCACAAGCGGUGGAGCAUGUGGUUUAAUUCGAUGCAACGCGAAGAACCUUACCUGGUCUUGACAUCCACAGAACUUUCCAGAGAUGGAUUGGUGCCUUCGGGAACUGUGAGACAGGUGCUGCAUGGCUGUCGUCAGCUCGUGUUGUGAAAUGUUGGGUUAAGUCCCGCAACGAGCGCAACCCUUAUCCUUUGUUGCCAGCGAUUAGGUCGGGAACUCAAAGGAGACUGCCAGUGAUAAACUGGAGGAAGGUGGGGAUGACGUCAAGUCAUCAUGGCCCUUACGACCAGGGCUACACACGUGCUACAAUGGCGCAUACAAAGAGAAGCGACCUCGCGAGAGCAAGCGGACCUCAUAAAGUGCGUCGUAGUCCGGAUUGGAGUCUGCAACUCGACUCCAUGAAGUCGGAAUCGCUAGUAAUCGUGGAUCAGAAUGCCACGGUGAAUACGUUCCCGGGCCUUGUACACACCGCCCGUCACACCAUGGGAGUGGGUUGCAAAAGAAGUAGGUAGCUUAACCUUCGGGAGGGCGCUUACCACUUUGUGAUUCAUGACUGGGGUGAAGUCGUAACAAGGUAACCGUAGGGGAACCUGC
Molecule: ribosomal RNA, 1519 nt
Filed under: Salmonella enterica
Lineage: Bacteria; Pseudomonadati; Pseudomonadota; Gammaproteobacteria; Enterobacterales; Enterobacteriaceae
Also listed under: 2 other names
Description: bacterial SSU rRNA
Rfam family: Bacterial small subunit ribosomal RNA
Source: RNAcentral